Molecule: long non-coding RNA, 801 nt
Organism: Tigriopus californicus
Lineage: Eukaryota; Metazoa; Arthropoda; Copepoda; Harpacticoida; Harpacticidae
Exons: 3
Source: RefSeq, a predicted model, not a curated record
CAAGAGUGAACACGGGGUAGGGCACCCUUGGACAAAAGCCCACAAUUGAGGGACAUUAAUGGGCAUUCAGUGAGUGGUAGCGAGCGAAUCAUGCUCGAAAUCCCCCGAAGUGGUGGGGGCCAACCCGGGGCCAACCACAGCUGAAGGGACGGACUGGGGUAGCAAGAAAGCGGAGUCCACCUUUGAAAGUGAUGCUAAUGAGCAUCUGCUUGUUUUUCGACCCACCAAUCUCCUCUGUUGACAACGACAAGCUGUGAAAAAUGUGGAUCACUCAAGUCCAUAGGGAUUAUCUUGACAAGCCGAGGAAUUCUUGAUAUGUGACAUUCAUACUACUGAAUCUAGAGCAUUCAGCAUCGGAUUAGAGCUUUCAAAUAGUGGCCCUUACUCGUGAUGUGCGAUGGCUGAUGUCGACGUGUACAGUACAUACAGCUCUGUGAUUUCGAGGCUUGCUUCUUCUUUUUCUUCAGGAGGAGAUUCGACCAUAACGGCCUCUGAAGAAGGCUCAAUUGAAUCUUGAUGAAAACGCAUUCGAGGCCAAGCUGCAACACUGUAACGUGAGUUCGAAGAAGACAAGAUGAAUUGAAGAUUCGAAGGAAAACAUACAAGUUCGAGCUAAGAAGAAAGAAGUGGCGAGAAAAAGAAGAAAAAAGAAAAUAUGAAAACGUAGCAAAACAGAGUAAAACAGUCAUUUUAAGGGUUGAGAUAUAAUUUUAUUUGGUGCAUGGAGUGAUUUGUUGUUCGAUUGUCUAUGCUUAUGUGUUUAUUGUACAAUAUGAUAAAGAUUGUCGGUAAAAAUAUUGC